GACGAACGCUGGCGGCGUGCUUAACACAUGCAAGUCGAACGGAAAGGCCCUGCUUUUGUGGGGUGCUCGAGUGGCGAACGGGUGAGUAACACGUGAGUAACCUGCCCUUGACUUUGGGAUAACUUCAGGAAACUGGGGCUAAUACCGGAUAGGAGCUCCUGCUGCAUGGUGGGGGUUGGAAAGUUUCGGCGGUUGGGGAUGGACUCGCGGCUUAUCAGCUUGUUGGUGGGGUAGUGGCUUACCAAGGCUUUGACGGGUAGCCGGCCUGAGAGGGUGACCGGCCACAUUGGGACUGAGAUACGGCCCAGACUCCUACGGGAGGCAGCAGUGGGGAAUAUUGCACAAUGGGCGGAAGCCUGAUGCAGCGACGCCGCGUGCGGGAUGACGGCCUUCGGGUUGUAAACCGCUUUCGCCUGUGACGAAGCGUGAGUGACGGUAAUGGGUAAAGAAGCACCAGCUAACUACGUG
This 468-nucleotide ribosomal RNA is filed under the name uncultured bacterium. RNAcentral describes it as "partial 16S ribosomal RNA". It matches the Rfam family "Bacterial small subunit ribosomal RNA", at positions 28 to 507 of the family's 1533-position model. The record is from RNAcentral.